AGUGGGUGUAGCGUACCUACUAGCCUACGACGGGUACGGGUUGUGAGAGCAAGAGCCCGGAGAUGGAUUCUGAGACACGAAUCCAGGCCCUACGGGGUGCAGCAGGCGCGAAAACUUUACAAUGCUGGCAACAGCGAUAAGGGAACCUCGAGUGCCAGGCUACAAAUCUGGCUGUCGAGAUGCCUAAAAAGCAUUUCAUAGCAAGGGCCGGGCAAGACCGGUGCCAGCCGCCGCGGUAACACCGGCGGCUCGAGUGGUAACCGUUAUUAUUGGGUCUAAAGGGUCUGUAGCCGGCCGGAUAAGUCUCUUGGGAAAUCUGGCAGCUCAACUGUCAGGCUAUCAGGAGAUACUGUCUGGCUCGAGGCCGGGAGAGGUGAGAGGUACUUCAGGGGUAGGGGUGAAAUCUUGUAAUCCUUGAAGGACCACCAGUGGCGAAGGCGUCUCACCAGAACGGACCUGACGGCAAGGGACGAAAGCUAGGGGCACGAACCGGAUUAGAU
Molecule: ribosomal RNA, 500 nt
Filed under: uncultured microorganism
Description: bacterial SSU rRNA
Rfam family: Archaeal small subunit ribosomal RNA
Source: RNAcentral